Long non-coding RNA from Frieseomelitta varia, 1216 nucleotides. RefSeq lists it as uncharacterized. The record is from RefSeq and is a predicted model, not a curated record. The transcript is spliced from 2 exons. NCBI's taxonomy places the organism in Eukaryota, Metazoa, Arthropoda, Insecta, Hymenoptera, Apidae.
UUUGAGGAAAAUCAAAUUUCGCGCGUUUUGUGACCACGCAGAUUUGUUCUUCGACGCAUGCGCAGUUGACUUCCCGUCUUGAAUUUCCCUGGAUAACCCUCAAACUUUCAAACUUCGCGACUGCAGUCGCGAGACUGUUACAUCAUUUUUUUUCUUUUUUGUUACGAGCCUCGAAUCAACCAAUUUAGCCUGAAUUGCAAGGAUCGCUAUAAUUUUCAAUUUUGCACGGAUAUUAUUAACCAGGCAUUAUAUUUUCUCAGAUGACGAAUAUAUCGUGCGAAUAUCCCCCCUCCUCUCCGACGCCACGCAAGAGCAUACAGAUAAAAGAACUGUUUUUCACAGAUCUCAGAAACGACUUUUCUUGAUAUUGUUCCAGAAACAAUAACCUUGAUCUCCAAUAACCAUGUGACCUAGGAAAUACUCUCAAACGAGCAACAAUUAUUAUCAAGCUGCUUGUAUUGAGAAUCAAUUUUCCGUAAGUCUGGAGGAUCGUGUUUCAACAUAAACUGUAUCAACUGUAUCAUCUGAUUCGCGUGAUUCUCAAGCAGGAUAUCAGCGUGCAUAUCAAUAAAUACGGUUAAUCGUCAUUCAGAAACGCAAUCACAUUCUUACGUAACUGAGACCGUAAAUGAUGCCCACUGUGCGUUUUUGUUUGCACGCUUUGGACGAGGAAGGAACAAUAACAAGCUCGACUCUCCACCGACCACAACAUUGAAACUCGAUCGUUCAAGUAUCCCAAAAUCUUUUCCUCCUUGUUAAUUCUCUGUUUUUUUUUUAAACAGGUGUUGCAACGAGUGCCCAGUGUCAACGAUGUUACGUAACCGGUGAACGAUGUUACAAAGAAAAUCAGAGGCAAGAUGCAAAUAACAAACGACCAAUUUUCAACGAGUUCGAAAAAAAGUGAAUGUCGUGUAUUUUCGAUGAAGCAGCAAUUAAUCUAUUUUCGACUGAUUUUGAUUAAUAGCUCCGUCUCUCGUUGACGAUGCGAUAUGAUCCGAGACUCGAAUCUGCUUCUUUAAAUUUGAAGAUUGAACAAGCUACAGUCCCGUUUCUACUCGCACGUGCAACUCGAGUUGGAAAGAAGAAUAGAUAAAAAAGAAUUUAGAGUAAACAGAGAGCCGCAGUAGAAUUUCCUAAUUUCUAGAAAGAGAAGGAGAGCUUUUUCAGAUGUAUAAAAGAAAGAAGAAGACCUAGUUAUUGGCAACGUUUCUCAAAA